UGGGCUGUUAUCCUUUGCUGUGGUAGGGAGUAUGGAUGAAGUGAAAGUUGGUAAAAGGAUGGUCAGAGGCCGUCACUAGCCUUGGGGAGUUUUCCAAGUGGAAAAUGAAAAUCACUGUGACUUCGUUAAGCUCCAAGAUAUGCUUCUUUGUACCAAUGUGGAAAAUCUAAAAGAAAAACCUACACUCAGCACUAUGAAUGCUGUAGGUACCAAAAACUGCAGAAAAUGGGCUUUACAGAUCUGGGCCCAGACAACCAGCCAGUUAGUUUUCAAGAAAUCUUUGAAGCCAAAAGACAAGAGUGCUAUGAUCAAUGUCAGAGAGAAGAAGAGUUGAAACAGAUUUAUGCAGCGAGUCAAGGAGAAAGAAGCUGAAAAAGAGCUGCAGGACAAGUUCAAGCAUCUUAAAAUGAUUCAACAGGAGGAGAUAAGGAAGCUCGAAGAAGAGAAAAAACAACUGGAAGGAGAAAUAAUAGAUUUUUUAUAAAAUGAAGGCUGCUUCUGAGGCACUGCAGACUCAGCUGAGCACCAAUACAAAGAAAGACAAACAUCGUAAGAAAUAA
Molecule: long non-coding RNA, 560 nt
Filed under: Homo sapiens (human)
Lineage: Eukaryota; Metazoa; Chordata; Mammalia; Primates; Hominidae
Description: non-protein coding lnc-ZBTB41-2:1
Source: RNAcentral